GUGCUGCUGAGGAAGCCCAUAAUAGGACGAAACGGUCGUCCAGUAC
RNAcentral lists this non-coding RNA (46 nucleotides) under Schistosoma margrebowiei. Lineage: Eukaryota; Metazoa; Platyhelminthes; Trematoda; Strigeidida; Schistosomatidae. The record is from RNAcentral.